RNAcentral lists this ribosomal RNA (498 nucleotides) under uncultured bacterium. RNAcentral describes it as "partial 16S ribosomal RNA". It matches the Rfam family "Bacterial small subunit ribosomal RNA", at positions 30 to 523 of the family's 1533-position model. The record is from RNAcentral.
AUUGAACGCUGGCGGCAUGCCUUACACAUGCAAGUCGAACGGUAACAGGUCUUCGGAUGCUGACGAGUGGCGAACGGGUGAGUAAUACAUCGGAACGUGCCUAGUAGUGGGGGAUAACUACUCGAAAGAGUGGCUAAUACCGCAUGAGAUCUACGGAUGAAAGCAGGGGAUCGCAAGACCUUGUGCUACUAGAGCGGCCGAUGGCAGAUUAGGUAGUUGGUGGGAUAAAAGCUUACCAAGCCGACGAUCUGUAGCGGGUCUGAGAGGACCAGCAGGCACACUGGGACUGGGACACGGCCAAGACGCCUGGGGGAGGCAGCAGCGGGGAAUUUUGGACAAUGGGCGAAAGCCUGUUCCAGAAAUGCAGCGUGCAGGAUGAAGGCCUUCGGGUUGUAAACUGCUUUUGUACGGAACGAAAAGCCCCGGGUUAAUACCCUGGGGUCAUGACGGUACCCUAAGAAUAAGCACCGGCUAACUACGUGCCAGCCGCCGCAGUAA